UACGUAGGUGGCAAGCGUUGUCCGGAUUUACUGGGCGUAAAGGGCGUGCAGGCGGUCUGUUAAGUUCAGGGUGAAAGCUCCCGGCUCAACUGGGAGAGGUCCUUGGAUACUGGCAGACUUGAGGGAGGUAGAGGAGAGUGGAAUUCCCGGUGUAGUGGUGAUAUGCGUAGAUAUCGGGAGGAACACCAGUGGCGAAGGCGGCGACCUGGACGGACAUUGACGCUGAGACGCGAAAGCGUGGGGAGCAAACAGG
This 253-nucleotide ribosomal RNA is filed under the name uncultured bacterium. Its description in RNAcentral is "partial 16S ribosomal RNA". It matches the Rfam family "Bacterial small subunit ribosomal RNA", at positions 524 to 776 of the family's 1533-position model. The record is from RNAcentral.